Pestalotiopsis sp. NC0098 is the source of this 93-nucleotide non-coding RNA. The record is from the annotation of a GenBank genome assembly. Lineage: Eukaryota; Fungi; Ascomycota; Sordariomycetes; Amphisphaeriales; Sporocadaceae.
GCCCCGCUGGCUCAAUGGUAGAGCAUUAGACUUCUACGUCUGUUCAUACAGAAAGGCAUCUAAAGGUUGCGGGUUCGACCCCCGCGUGGGGUU